AAUAGAUACCCUGGUAGUCCAUGCCGUAAACGUUGGGCACUAGGUGUGGGGCUCAUUCCACGAGUUCCGUGCCGCAGCAAACGCAUUAAGUGCCCCGCCUGGGGAGUACGGCCGCAAGGCUAAAACUCAAAGGAAUUGACGGGGGCCCGCACAAGCGGCGGAGCAUGCGGAUUAAUUCGAUGCAACGCGAAGAACCUUACCAAGGCUUGACAUGCACGGGAAGCCACCAGAGAUGGUGGUCUCUUUGGACACUCGUGCACAGGUGGUGCAUGGUUGUCGUCAGCUCGUGUCGUGAGAUGUUGGGUUAAGUCCCGCAACAAGCGCAACCCUCGUCCCAUGUUGCCAGCGGGUUAUGCCGGGGACUCAUGGGAGACUGCCGGGGUCAACUCGGAGGAAGGUGGGGAUGACGUCAAAUCAUCAUGCCCCUUAUGUCUUGGGCUUCACGCAUGCUACAAUGGCCGGUACAAAGGGCUGCGAUACCGUAAGGUGGAGCGAAUCCCAAAAAGCCGGUCUCAGUUCGGAUUGGGGUC
This 530-nucleotide ribosomal RNA is filed under the name uncultured bacterium. Its description in RNAcentral is "bacterial SSU rRNA". It matches the Rfam family "Bacterial small subunit ribosomal RNA", at positions 777 to 1305 of the family's 1533-position model. The record is from RNAcentral.